Molecule: ribosomal RNA, 460 nt
Filed under: uncultured bacterium
Lineage: Bacteria
Description: partial 16S ribosomal RNA
Rfam family: Bacterial small subunit ribosomal RNA
Source: RNAcentral
CCUACGGGGGGCUGCAGUGAGGAAUAUUGGUCAAUGGGCGCGAGCCUGAACCAGCCAAGUAGCGUGAAGGAUGACUGCCCUACGGGUUGUAAACUUCUUUUAUAUGGGAAUAAAGUGAGGAACGUGUUCCUUUUUGUAUGUACCAUAUGAAUAAGCAUCGGCUAACUCCGUGCCAGCAGCCGCGGUAAUACGGAGGAUGCGAGCGUUAUCCGGAUUUAUUGGGUUUAAAGGGUGCGUAGGUGGUUAAUUAAGUCAGCGGUGAAAGUUUGUGGCUCAACCAUAAAAUUGCCGUUGAUACUGGUGGACUAGAGUAUAGUUGCGGUAGGCGGAAUGCGUGGUGUAGCGGUGAAAUGCAUAGAGAUCACGCAGAACACCGAUUGCGAAGGCAGCUUACUAAACUAUAUCUGACACUGAAGCACGAAAGCGUGGGGAGCAAACAGGAUUAGAUACCCUUGUAGUC